GACGAACGCUGGCGGCGUGCCUAAUACAUGCAAGUAGAACGCUGAAGAGAGGAGCUUGCUCUUCUUGGAUGAGUUGCGAACGGGUGAGUAACGCGUAGGUAACCUGCCUUGUAGCGGGGGAUAACUAUUGGAAACGAUAGCUAAUACCGCAUAACAAUGGAUGACACAUGUCAUUUAUUUGAAAGGGGCAAUUGCUCCACUACAAGAUGGACCUGCGUUGUAUUAGCUAGUAGGUGAGGUAACGGCUCACCUAGGCGACGAUACAUAGCCGACCUGAGAGGGUGAUCGGCCACACUGGGACUGAGACACGGCCCAGACUCCUACGGGAGGCAGCAGUAGGGAAUCUUCGGCAAUGGGGGCAACCCUGACCGAGCAACGCCGCGUGAGUGAAGAAGGGUUUCGGAUCGUAAAGCUCUGUUGUAAGUCAAGAACGAGUGUGAGAGUGGAAAGUUUACACUGUGACGGUAGCUUACCAGAAAGGGACGGCUAACUACGUG
This 497-nucleotide ribosomal RNA is filed under the name uncultured bacterium. Its description in RNAcentral is "partial 16S ribosomal RNA". It matches the Rfam family "Bacterial small subunit ribosomal RNA", at positions 28 to 507 of the family's 1533-position model. The record is from RNAcentral.